UUGAAUUUUUAGUAAAGAUCCUUUCCUUGAAAGGGGAAAAUUACUUCACCUGGUGAACCUUUUCAUGAUGCUAAUGUGAUGGCGUGAAGUGGUGCCACUGCAGUAGCUUGUGGGCAUGAAGGGUUUGUUCCCAGGUGGAGACCAUUCCUUGAUAACUGGGCAUUUCCUCCCCUGGUGGCUCAGGGGCUAUUUAUGCUGAGCAAGAUGGCUCUGGCCAGAACUAUAUUUUGGGAAUGCACACAUGGUUUCUUUGUCAGCUCAACUUCAGCUUGUACUAACAAAGUGGCAGAAGAUGGGAGAGAAUAGGGUCAGAGCACUCCAGGUUUUUGUGUGGCUUCUGUCUGAGAUGUUUCUCAGGAGCAGUCUGACAGGGAAUGGCAGAGCCCCAUUACAUGGCACAGAGGGUGGCUGGCUUCCAGCUCGUCAGUAACUUAUCAUCUGAGUAGACUAUGUCAACAGAUCUUCCUUACAGCAGAGUACACCUGGACUGGAAAGAUGAAACAGCAAGAAUUGCCUUUUUUUGUUCUGUGGAGGAUUUACUUGCUCUCUAGAACCGACUUGUUUGAACUCUCAAGUUAAGCUGAAAAGAUGCUGUGAAAUACUGGAAAAAUGGAAGAAACAGAAACAUGCAAAUGUUCAUUGUUAGCUAACUGCAGGACACUGCAAUCCCACAGCCCGUGUCCUACGUCCUGCUGGAGUACUUCUGUCCAUUGGAGUGUGGAAGGGGUUCAGCUCCCACCAUUAUUUUCAAGUCCCUGAGUCAUCUGAGUCCUUUUUUGUUCUGGUAACCACCCAUGGCUAUUACGGGAUGUGUGUGAACACCCUCUCCCUCCCACAGUCACAAACCUUCCUGGUUGUUCCUCUGACCUCUUCUCAAGCUCACACCCAGCCAAGCACAUAAAUGUCUACAUGCACCACAGUGAUAUCUGAUGCUCUCUUGGUGGCCUCUCAGACCUCACUGCUUAUGUGUGCUGAGAGACAGAAGUGAAUUUAGGCCAUGUCUUUCCUCUCCUCCCCCUUUUUACAAGGAUUAAUAAAUAGCUGGAUUCUUG
Molecule: long non-coding RNA, 1052 nt
Organism: Passer domesticus (house sparrow)
Lineage: Eukaryota; Metazoa; Chordata; Aves; Passeriformes; Passeridae
Exons: 5
Source: RefSeq, a predicted model, not a curated record